CUAAUACCCAAUGAUAUCUCUAGAAGGCAUCUGAAAGAGAUUAAAGAUUUAUCGGUGAUGGAUGGGGAUGCGUCUGAUUAGCUUGUUGGCGGGGUAACGGCCCACCAAGGCAACGAUCAGUAGGGGUCCUGAGAGGAAGGUCCCCCACAUUGGAACUGAGACACGGUCCAAACUCCUACGGGAGGCAGCAGUGAGGAAUAUUGGUCAAUGGACGAGAGUCUGAACCAGCCAAGUAGCGUGCAGGAGGACGGCCCUAUGGGUUGUAAACUGCUUUUAUAAGGGAAUAAAGUGAGUCUCGUGAGACUUUUUGCAUGUACCUUAUGAAUAAGGACCGGCUAAUUCCGUGCCAGCAGCCGCGGUAAUACGGAAGGUCCGGGCGUUAUCCGGAUUUAUUGGGUUUAAAGGGAGCGUAGGCCGGAGAUUAAGCGUGUUGUGAAAUGUAGAUGCUCAACAUCUGAACUGCAGCGCGAACUGGUUUCCUUGAGUACGCACAAAGUGGGCGGAAUUCGUGGUGUAGCGGUGAAAUGCUUAGAUAUCACGAAGAACUCCGAUUGCGAAGGCAGCUCACUGGAGCGCAACUGACGCUGAAGCUCGAAAGUGCGGGUAUCGAACAGGAUUAGAUACCCUGGUAGUCCGCACGGUAAAC
This 646-nucleotide ribosomal RNA is filed under the name uncultured bacterium. RNAcentral describes it as "bacterial SSU rRNA". It matches the Rfam family "Bacterial small subunit ribosomal RNA", at positions 163 to 807 of the family's 1533-position model. The record is from RNAcentral.